UACGGAGGGGGCGAGCGUUGUCCGAAGUUACUGGGCGUAAAGCGCGCGUAGGCGGGUGGGUAAGUCCGCUGUGAAAGCCCGGAGCUUAACUCCGGAGGGUCGGUGGAUACUGCCCAUCUUGAAGGUGCUAGGGGGAGAUGGAAUUACCGGUGUAGCGGUGAAAUACGUAGAGAUCGGUAGGAACACCAGUGGCGAAGGCGGUCUCCUGGAGCAUACUUGACGCUGAGGCGCGAAAGCUGGGGGAGCGAACGGG
This 253-nucleotide ribosomal RNA is filed under the name uncultured bacterium. RNAcentral describes it as "partial 16S ribosomal RNA". It matches the Rfam family "Bacterial small subunit ribosomal RNA", at positions 524 to 776 of the family's 1533-position model. The record is from RNAcentral.